Molecule: long non-coding RNA, 1045 nt
Organism: Bos taurus (domestic cattle)
Lineage: Eukaryota; Metazoa; Chordata; Mammalia; Artiodactyla; Bovidae
Source: Ensembl
AGAGAGCGAGCCGGCAAGAGUGAGCGCGCAUGAGCCUACCCCAUUCCAAAAUAUUUCUGACAAAAUCUGGCACUCCUGGUUCUAAUCAAAAUACUGAACUUUGGAACAAAUUAACAUUCCACAGCCUUGCAGGGAAGGAGAACUCAGCCGAGACAACUUCAGUUCAUAACCACAACAAAAAUAGCUUCUCCCGGGGAAGACACAGUCUGCUAACAAGGUCACUUUUGUUUUGCUCCCCCUGCCAUCUGGCUGAGUGGCACCAGGGGCUGGAUUUGGUACCGACUUCUUCUGCCGAGAGUGGAUGGGAGCCGGGUGGCACUGCAGAAGGCUUCUCAGCCUCCUGGCAAAGGGUGCCGGCACAAAGUUACCUUCAGACACCCCCCAGCAAGCAUGCGGGCAGAUGGAGCCCCGGUUUCACCCAGCCCGACUCAGCUCUGAGCUCCGCGUGUGCAGAAGGUGUGACACAGCAGACAGCAACAAGCAGGAUGGAAUCACCUGCACUCGUGGGUGAAGAGAGCAGAUGUCACUACCUACGGGCAUCAGGCUGGAGUUCCCAAAGAACGUGAGUGCUCUCUGACCUGGUAGCCCAGGAGGGCUUCCAUGUAGAAAGACCCCUCAACAGCCCUCUACAGAACUUCCAACGUGACAUAAAUAGUCUUCCCAGAGUUACUUCAUUUUGAAGGUGUGGAGCUGGGAUUUGAACACAAGCCUUUUGCUUACGAAGAUUCUGCUGCUUCUUCUAUACCAACGAUUUUCAAUCUUUUAAAAAAGGAUCAAAAGCCAUGAAUAUCCACAAGGGGUUCACGGCCUAAUAAAACCAUGUCCCUCUCAUGAGGAGUCUGUGUGUGCUAAGUCGCUUGAGUCUUGUCUGACUCUUUGUGACCCUAUGGACUGUAGCCAGCCAGGCUUCUCUGUUCUUGGGAUUUUCCAGUCAAGAAUACUGGAGUGGGUUGCCAUUCCCUUCUCCAGGGCAUCUUCCCAACCCAGGGAUCGAACCCACGUCUUAUGUCUCCUGCAUUGACAAGUCAAUGUCAAUGUCUCCUGC